RNAcentral lists this unclassified non-coding RNA (263 nucleotides) under plant metagenome. Its description in RNAcentral is "partial contains small subunit ribosomal RNA, internal transcribed spacer 1, and 5.8S ribosomal RNA". The record is from RNAcentral.
UUUCCGUAGGUGAACCUGCGGAAGGAUCAUUAUUGUAUAACCGAGGUGCGAGGGCUGUCGCUGACCCGAAAGGUCGUGCACGCCCGAGGGCCCUCACACACAUCCAUCUCACCCCUAUAUGCACCACCGCGUGGGUCCCCCUUUGGCUUGUUCGGAGGGGGGCUUACGUUUUCACACAAACUUUGUAUGCAGUGUAGAAUGUAUUUUUUGUUUUUGCGAUCACGCAAUCAAUACAACUUUCAACAACGGAUCUCUUGGCUCUC